CCUACGGGGGGCAGCAGUGGGGAAUAUUGGGCAAUGGGCGCAAGCCUGACCCAGCAACGCCGCGUGAAGGAAGAAGGCUUUCGGGUUGUAAACUUCUUUUCACAGGGACGAAGCAAGUGACGGUACCUGUGGAAUAAGCCACGGCUAACUACGGGCCAGCAGCCGCGGUAAUACGUAGGUGGCAAGCGUUAUCCGGAUUGACUGGGUGUAAGGGGCGUGUAGGCGGGACUGCAAGUCAGAUGUGAAAACCACGGGCUCAACCUGUGACCUGCAUUUGAAACUGUAGUUCUUGAGUGCUGGAGAGGCAGACGGAAUUCCUGGUGUAGCGGUGAAAUGCGUAGAUAUUAGGAGGAACACCAGUGGCGAAGGCGGACUGCUGGACAGCAACUGACGCUGAGGCGCGAAAGCGUGGGGAGCAAACAGGAUUAGAUACCCCUGUAGUC
Molecule: ribosomal RNA, 443 nt
Filed under: uncultured bacterium
Lineage: Bacteria
Description: partial 16S ribosomal RNA
Rfam family: Bacterial small subunit ribosomal RNA
Source: RNAcentral